This 526-nucleotide ribosomal RNA is filed under the name Neobacillus niacini. Its description in RNAcentral is "bacterial SSU rRNA". It matches the Rfam family "Bacterial small subunit ribosomal RNA", at positions 61 to 570 of the family's 1533-position model. Lineage: Bacteria; Bacillati; Bacillota; Bacilli; Caryophanales; Bacillaceae. The record is from RNAcentral.
GUCGAGCGAAUCUUGAGGUGCUUGCACCUCUUGGUUAGCGGCGGACGGGUGAGUAACACGUGGGCAACCUGCCUGUAAGACUGGGAUAACUUCGGGAAACCGGAGCUAAUACCGGAUAAUCCUUUUCCUCUCAUGAGGAAAAGCUGAAAGUCGGUUUACGCUGACACUUACAGAUGGGCCCGCGGCGCAUUAGCUAGUUGGUGAGGUAACGGCUCACCAAGGCGACGAUGCGUAGCCGACCUGAGAGGGUGAUCGGCCACACUGGGACUGAGACACGGCCCAGACUCCUACGGGAGGCAGCAGUAGGGAAUCUUCCGCAAUGGACGAAAGUCUGACGGAGCAACGCCGCGUGAGCGAUGAAGGCCUUCGGGUCGUAAAGCUCUGUUGUUAGGGAAGAACAAGUACCGGAGUAACUGCCGGUACCUUGACGGUACCUAACCAGAAAGCCACGGCUAACUACGUGCCAGCAGCCGCGGUAAUACGUAGGUGGCAAGCGUUGUCCGGAAUUAUUGGGCGUAAAGCGCGC